This 207-nucleotide ribosomal RNA is filed under the name uncultured bacterium. Its description in RNAcentral is "partial 16S ribosomal RNA". It matches the Rfam family "Bacterial small subunit ribosomal RNA", at positions 568 to 774 of the family's 1533-position model. The record is from RNAcentral.
CUCGUAGGUGGCCAACUAAGUCAGACGUGAAAUCCCUCGGCUUAACCGGGGAACUGCGUCUGAUACUGGAUGGCUUGAGUUUGGGAGAGGGAUGCGGAAUUCCAGGUGUAGCGGUGAAAUGCGUAGAUAUCUGGAGGAGCACCGGUGGCGAAGGCGGCAUCCUGGACCAACACUGACACUGAGGAGCGAAAGCCAGGGGAGCAAACG